RNAcentral lists this ribosomal RNA (467 nucleotides) under uncultured bacterium. RNAcentral's name for it is "partial 16S ribosomal RNA". It matches the Rfam family "Bacterial small subunit ribosomal RNA", at positions 28 to 507 of the family's 1533-position model. The record is from RNAcentral.
GACGAACGCUGGCGGCGUGCUUAACACAUGCAAGUCGAACGGAAAGGCUCCAGCUUGCUGGAGUACUCGAGUGGCGAACGGGUGAGUAACACGUGGGUAAUCUGCCCUGCACUCUGGGAUAAGCCUGGGAAACUGGGUCUAAUACUGGAUAUGACCUUUCUCCUUAUGGGGUUUGGUGGAAAGUUUUUCGGUGUAGGAUGAGCCCGCGGCCUAUCAGCUUGUUGGUGGGGUGAUGGCCUACCAAGGCGACGACGGGUAGCCGGCCUGAGAGGGUGAUCGGCCACAUUGGGACUGAGAUACGGCCCAGACUCCUACGGGAGGCAGCAGUGGGGAAUAUUGCACAAUGGGCGGAAGCCUGAUGCAGCGACGCCGCGUGGGGGAUGACGGCCUUCGGGUUGUAAACCUCUUUCAGCAGGGACGAAGCGUAAGUGACGGUACCUGCAGAAGAAGCACCGGCUAACUAUGUG